AGAGUUUGAUCCUGGCUCAGAUUGAACGCUGGCGGAAUGCUUUACACAUGCAAGUCGAGCGGCAGCGCGGGGCAACCUGGCGGCGAGCGGCGAACGGGUGAGUAAUGCAUCGGAACGUACCCAUUUGUGGGGGAUAACUAUCCGAAAGGAUAGCUAAUACCGCAUAAGUCCUGAGGGAGAAAGCGGGGGAUCGCAAGACCUCGCGCGAAUGGGGCGGCCGAUGCCGGAUUAGCUAGUUGGUAGGGUAAAGGCCUACCAAGGCGACGAUCCGUAGCUGGUCUGAGAGGAUGAUCAGCCACACUGGGACUGAGACACGGCCCAGACUCCUACGGGAGGCAGCAGUGGGGAAUUUUGGACAAUGGGCGAAAGCCUGAUCCAGCCAUUCCGCGUGAGUGAAGAAGGCCUUCGGGUUGUAAAGCUCUUUCGGCAGGAACGAAACGGUUUGGGCUAAUACCCUGAGCUAAUGACGGUACCUGAAGAAGAAGCACCGGCUAACUACGUGCCAGCAGCCGCGGUAAUACGUAGGGUGCGAGCGUUAAUCGGAAUUACUGGGCGUAAAGCGUGCGCAGGCGGUUAUGUAAGACAGAUGUGAAAUCCCCGGGCUUAACCUGGGAACUGCGUUUGUGACUGCAUAACUCGAGUGUGGCAGAGGGGGGUGGAAUUCCACGUGUAGCAGUGAAAUGCGUAGAGAUGUGGAGGAACACCGAUGGCGAAGGCAGCCCCCUGGGUCAACACUGACGCUCAUGCACGAAAGCGUGGGUAGCAAACAGGAUUAGAUACCCUGGUAGUCCACGCCCUAAACGAUGCCAACUAGGUGUUGGGGAAGGAGACUUCCUUAGUACCGUAGCUAACGCGUGAAGUUGGCCGCCUGGGGAGUACGGUCGCAAGAUUAAAACUCAAAGGAAUUGACGGGGACCCGCACAAGCGGUGGAUGAUGUGGAUUAAUUCGAUGCAACGCGAAAAACCUUACCUACCCUUGACAUGCCAGGAACUUGGUAGAGAUACCUUGGUGCCCGAAAGGGAGCCUGGACACAGGUGCUGCAUGGCUGUCGUCAGCCCGUGUCGUGAGAUGUUGGGUUAAGUCCCGCAACGAGCGCAACCCUUGUCAUUAGUUGCCAUCAUUUAGUUGGGCACUCUAAUGAGACUGCCGGUGACAAACCGGAGGAAGGUGGGGAUGACGUCAAGUCCUCAUGGCCCUUAUGGGUAGGGCUUCACACGUCAUACAAUGGUCGGUACAGAGGGUUGCCAAGCCGAGAGGUGGAGCCAAUCCCAGAAAGCCGAUCGUAGUCCGGAUCGGAGUCUGCAACUCGACUCCGUGAAGUCGGAAUCGCUAGUAAUCGUGGAUCAGCAUGCCACGGUGAAUACGUUCCCGGGUC
This 1376-nucleotide ribosomal RNA is filed under the name metagenome. RNAcentral's name for it is "bacterial SSU rRNA". It matches the Rfam family "Bacterial small subunit ribosomal RNA", at positions 8 to 1380 of the family's 1533-position model. The record is from RNAcentral.